GGGGGAGUCAGUGAUCGGACCAGUGUAUCAGUCCCAUGUUAGCCCCGUGUCGCUCCUGUAAGGUGACCAAGGGAUUCAUUUAGGCCAGUACAGUAGGCCGAUGAACGAUGCUUCUGUUUGUUGGAAAUCGCGUGGCAGCAGCUCAGAUGUUUCUACAGUUCCUCCUCUCUGAGAAAGGGACAGCGGAUAUCCUUGGGUGUAACGGGAAGAGGAGCGCCUGAGCUCCGAUGACUCUGGAGCUGACGUGCACGCUGACUUGCGGUCACUCUGCAGGAUAAGAUCACGGCCAACGUCUUGAGUAACUUCAGGCCGCCGUUGCAACAGCAGGGAGUUAAAAUCAUCACAUGUGACCUACACUCCAUACUGAGGACGAUCCCCACCAGAGCCACUGGGGUUGAGGGUCUUACCCAGGAACCACAUGCUGACUGCAGUGGGGGAUUGAACCAGUGCUCCCCUGAUCCGUAGACUAGCGCAAUAUCCCACUGCGCCACACUAACUCUAGGAGCUGAGGGUGUGCAGAAGGCCUCGGUGCGAAGGUCAAAAUGAUCGACAGAGUUUACUGCUGCAGAGUCAACCAUUAACAGGCUGAUACAGAGCCAGAGGGGUCAGGGGUCAGCGUGUGAGAGCUGUGUGUGUUCAACUCAAACAGCGUGUGUGAGCUGUGUGUGUUCAACUCAAACAGCGUGUGUGAGCUGUGUGUGUUCAACUCAAACUGAGCAUUUUCUGUCAGAUUCUGUUUCUGCUUUUAAACUGCAGUCUGUGUUUCACUGUAUGUUUACACCAUACAGCUGUUGU
Long non-coding RNA from Eleginops maclovinus (Patagonian blennie), 795 nucleotides. RefSeq lists it as uncharacterized. The record is from RefSeq and is a predicted model, not a curated record. The transcript is spliced from 4 exons. NCBI's taxonomy places the organism in Eukaryota, Metazoa, Chordata, Actinopteri, Perciformes, Eleginopidae.